CAAUCAAACCGGGAGAUAGCUGGUUCUCCCCGAAAGCUAUUUAGGUAGCGCCUCGUGAAUUCAUCUCCGGGGGUAGAGCACUGUUUCGGCUAGGGGGCCAUCCCGGCUUACCAACCCGAUGCAAACUGCGAAUACCGGAGAAUGUUAUCACGGGAGACACACGGCGGGUGCUAACGUCCGUCGUGAAGAGGGAAACAACCCAGACCGCCAGCUAAGGUCCCAAAGUCAUGGUUAAGUGGGAAACGAUGUGGGAAGGCCCAGACAGCCAGGAUGUUGGCUUAGAAGCAGCCAUCAUUUAAAGAAAGCGUAAUAGCUCACUGGUCGAGUCGGCCUGCGCGGAAGAUGUAACGGGGCUAAACCAUGCACCGAAGCUGCGGCAGCGAACGUAUCACCCAAGACAACUUUACGGAGUUGACGAUUGACGGAGCGAAGCGACGUCAAAGCGUUCAUUAAAGUCGAGUUGGCUUAGGGAUACGUUCGUUGGGUAGGGGAGCGUUCUGUAAGCCUGUGAAGGUGUGUCGUGAGGCAUGCUGGAGGUAUCAGAAGUGCGAAUGCUGACAUAAGUAACGAUAAAGCGGGUGAAAAGCCCGCUCGCCGGAAGACCAAGGGUUCCUGUCCAACGUUAAUCGGGGCAGGGUGAGUCGACCCCUAAGGCGAGGCCGAAAGGCGUAGUCGAUGGGAAACGGGUUAAUAUUCCCGUACUUGGUGUUACUGCGAAGGGGGGACGGAGAAGGCUAUGUUGGCCGGGCGACGGUUGUCCCGGUUUAAGCGUGUAGGUGUGUGUUCCAGGUAAAUCCGGUUCACUUUAACACUGAGGCGUGACGACGAGGCACUACGGUGCUGAAGCAACAAAUGCCCUGCUUCCAGGAAAAGCCUCUAAGCAUCAGGUAACAC
This 894-nucleotide ribosomal RNA is filed under the name Salmonella enterica subsp. enterica serovar Typhimurium. Its description in RNAcentral is "partial 23S ribosomal RNA". It matches the Rfam family "Bacterial large subunit ribosomal RNA", at positions 830 to 1637 of the family's 2925-position model. Lineage: Bacteria; Pseudomonadati; Pseudomonadota; Gammaproteobacteria; Enterobacterales; Enterobacteriaceae. The record is from RNAcentral.